GUUCCUUUAGCUCAGUCGGUAGAGCGGUGGUCUAAUAAACCACAGGUCGUGAGUUCAACCCUCACAGGGAACA
This 73-nucleotide transfer RNA is filed under the name Anaerolineales bacterium. RNAcentral's name for it is "tRNA-Ile". It matches the Rfam family "tRNA". From Rfam's summary of the family: Transfer RNA (tRNA) molecules are approximately 80 nucleotides in length. Their secondary structure includes four short double-helical elements and three loops (D, anti-codon, and T loops). Further hydrogen bonds mediate the characteristic L-shaped molecular structure. tRNAs have two regions of fundamental functional importance: the anti-codon, which is responsible for specific mRNA codon recognition, and the 3' end, to which the tRNAs corresponding amino acid is attached (by aminoacyl-tRNA synthetases). tRNAs cope with the degeneracy of the genetic code in two manners: having more than one tRNA (with a specific anti-codon) for a particular amino acid; and 'wobble' base-pairing, i.e. permitting non-standard base-pairing at the 3rd anti-codon position. Lineage: Bacteria; Bacillati; Chloroflexota; Anaerolineae; Anaerolineales. The record is from RNAcentral.